UGGGCAACCUGCCCCAGACACAGGGAUAACCCCGGGAAACCGGGGCUAAUACCGGAUACUCCGGUCGAACCGCAUGGCUCGAUCGGGAAAGCUCCGACGGUCUGGGAUGGGCCCGCGGCCUAUCAGCUUGUUGGUGGGGUAGUGGCCUACCAAGGCGACGACGGGUAUCCGGCCUGAGAGGGUGACCGGCCACACUGGGACUGAGACACGGCCCAGACUCCUACGGGAG
RNAcentral lists this ribosomal RNA (229 nucleotides) under uncultured bacterium. Its description in RNAcentral is "partial 16S ribosomal RNA". It matches the Rfam family "Bacterial small subunit ribosomal RNA", at positions 118 to 347 of the family's 1533-position model. The record is from RNAcentral.